RNAcentral lists this ribosomal RNA (280 nucleotides) under uncultured bacterium. RNAcentral's name for it is "partial 16S ribosomal RNA". It matches the Rfam family "Bacterial small subunit ribosomal RNA", at positions 506 to 784 of the family's 1533-position model. The record is from RNAcentral.
UGCCAGCCGCCGCGGUAAUACGUAUGGUGCAAGCGUUAUCCGGAAUCACAUGGGCGUAAAGGGUACGUAGGCGGUUUUGCUAAGUCAGAAGUGAAAGGCUACGGCUCAACCGUAGUAAGCUUUUGAAACUGCAAAACUAGAGUUCAGGAGAGGUAAGUGGAGUUCCUAGUGUAGAGGUGAAAUUCGUAGAUAUUAGGAGGAACACCAGUGGCGAAGGCGACUUACUGGACUGAUACUGACGCGGAGGAACGAAAGCGUGGGGAUAGAACAGGAGUAGAUG